RNAcentral lists this ribosomal RNA (254 nucleotides) under uncultured bacterium. RNAcentral's name for it is "partial 16S ribosomal RNA". It matches the Rfam family "Bacterial small subunit ribosomal RNA", at positions 524 to 776 of the family's 1533-position model. The record is from RNAcentral.
UACGAAGACCCCAAGCGUUAUCCGGAUUUAUUGGGCGUAAAGAGCACGUAGGAGGCCGAGUGCGUCGUGUGUUAAAUCUCACUGCUUAACGGUGAAAUCGCACACGAUACGGCUCGGCUUGAGGGCGCUAGAGGUCAGUGGAACAUAUGGUGUAGGGGUGAAAUCCGUUGAUAUCAUAUGGAACACCAAAGGCGAAGGCAGCUGACUGGAGCGUACCUGACUCUCAGUGUGCGAAAGCGUGGGGAGCGAAGAGG